RNAcentral lists this ribosomal RNA (1454 nucleotides) under uncultured organism. RNAcentral's name for it is "16S ribosomal RNA". It matches the Rfam family "Bacterial small subunit ribosomal RNA". The record is from RNAcentral.
GCGGCGUGCCUAAUACAUGCAAGUAGAACGCUGAAGAGAGGAGCUUGCUCUUCUUGGAUGAGUUGCGAACGGGUGAGUAACGCGUAGGUAACCUGCCUUGUAGCGGGGGAUAACUAUUGGAAACGAUAGCUAAUACCGCAUAACAAUGGAUGACACAUGUCAUUUAUUUGAAAGGGGCAAUUGCUCCACUACAAGAUGGACCUGCGUUGUAUUAGCUAGUAGGUGAGGUAACGGCUCACCUAGGCGACGAUACAUAGCCGACCUGAGAGGGUGAUCGGCCACACUGGGACUGAGACACGGCCCAGACUCCUACGGGAGGCAGCAGUAGGGAAUCUUCGGCAAUGGGGGCAACCCUGACCGAGCAACGCCGCGUGAGUGAAGAAGGUUUUCGGAUCGUAAAGCUCUGUUGUAAGUCAAGAACGAGUGUGAGAGUGGAAAGUUCACACUGUGACGGUAGCUUACCAGAAAGGGACGGCUAACUACGUGCCAGCAGCCGCGGUAAUACGUAGGUCCCGAGCGUUGUCCGGAUUUAUUGGGCGUAAAGCGAGCGCAGGCGGUUUGAUAAGUCUGAAGUUAAAGGCUGUGGCUCAACCAUAGUUCGCUUUGGAAACUGUCAAACUUGAGUGCAGAAGGGGAGAGUGGAAUUCCAUGUGUAGCGGUGAAAUGCGUAGAUAUAUGGAGGAACACCGGUGGCGAAAGCGGCUCUCUGGUCUGUAACUGACGCUGAGGCUCGAAAGCGUGGGGAGCGAACAGGAUUAGAUACCCUGGUAGUCCACGCCGUAAACGAUGAGUGCUAGGUGUUGGAUCCUUUCCGGGAUUCAGUGCCGCAGCUAACGCAUUAAGCACUCCGCCUGGGGAGUACGACCGCAAGGUUGAAACUCAAAGGAAUUGACGGGGGCCCGCACAAGCGGUGGAGCAUGUGGUUUAAUUCGAAGCAACGCGAAGAACCUUACCAGGUCUUGACAUCCCGAUGCUAUUUCUAGAGAUAGAAAGUUACUUCGGUACAUCGGUGACAGGUGGUGCAUGGUUGUCGUCAGCUCGUGUCGUGAGAUGUUGGGUUAAGUCCCGCAACGAGCGCAACCCCUAUUGUUAGUUGCCAUCAUUCAGUUGGGCACUCUAGCGAGACUGCCGGUAAUAAACCGGAGGAAGGUGGGGAUGACGUCAAAUCAUCAUGCCCCUUAUGACCUGGGCUACACACGUGCUACAAUGGUUGGUACAACGAGUUGCGAGCCGGUGACGGCAAGCUAAUCUCUUAAAGCCAAUCUCAGUUCGGAUUGUAGGCUGCAACUCGCCUACAUGAAGUCGGAAUCGCUAGUAAUCGCGGAUCAGCACGCCGCGGUGAAUACGUUCCCGGGCCUUGUACACACCGCCCGUCACACCACGAGAGUUUGUAACACCCGAAGUCGGUGAGGUAACCUUAUGGAGCCAGCCGCCUAAGGUGGGAUAGAUGAUUG